GCUCGAGAAUAUGUGCUGGAGGAUCUGGCAUCUCACCAGGAAGAAGAAGAAGUUGGAAUGGGAAGAUUUUCAAAGGCUGACACACCGGAGAUGGGAGAGGGAGCAGGGACGGAGGGAUGCUACGGAGGACAUGUCGGAGGAUCUAUCCGAGGGGGAGAAGGGUGAUGCAGUGGGGGAAAUGGUGCAGAGCGAGACGCCGAGGAAGAAACUGCAAAGGAACUUCUCCGAUGUUCCAUUGUGGUCUGAUGAUAACAAGGGGAAGAAACUCUAUAUUGUCCUCAUCAGUUUGCAUGGUCUAGUCCGUGGUGAUAAUAUGGAGCUUGGUCGUGAUUCUGAUACAGGUGGUCAGGUGAAAUAUGUCGUGGAACUAGCUCGAGCACUUUCUA
This 386-nucleotide unclassified non-coding RNA is filed under the name Hevea brasiliensis (rubber tree). The record is from RNAcentral. Lineage: Eukaryota; Viridiplantae; Streptophyta; Magnoliopsida; Malpighiales; Euphorbiaceae.